This 294-nucleotide unclassified non-coding RNA is filed under the name Athalia rosae (coleseed sawfly). RNAcentral's name for it is "misc RNA ENSAEAG00005009133.1". Lineage: Eukaryota; Metazoa; Arthropoda; Insecta; Hymenoptera; Athaliidae. The record is from RNAcentral.
UGGGGGUGGAAAAGGCACUCAUCUCUUCUGUAUCCAAUCAUGUCAACUGCAAGUCCAGCUCCUCAUGAGCUUUUGAAAAUGAUUUCCUGCGGCUGCACAACACACUGUGUCACAUCUCGCUGCGGGUGCGCAAAAGCUGGAAUGAGAUGUUCUGAAUUAUGCAAAAAUUGCAAUGGUAUCAGUUGUGCAAAUCCUUCCAUCAUAAGGCGACCUGCCUUGGAAGAAAAUGACGUAGAUGACCCUGCUCCUAACGAAUUUCCUAUUGCUCAGAAUGAAAUAAGUCAGGACCAAAAG